This 447-nucleotide ribosomal RNA is filed under the name uncultured bacterium. Its description in RNAcentral is "partial 16S ribosomal RNA". It matches the Rfam family "Bacterial small subunit ribosomal RNA", at positions 330 to 793 of the family's 1533-position model. The record is from RNAcentral.
GCCAGACUCCUACGGGAGGCAGCAGUGGGGAAUAUUGCACAAUGGGGGGAACCCUGAUGCAGCGACGCCGCGUGGGUGAAGGAGCGUUUCGGCGCGUAAAGCCCUAUCGGCAGGGAAGAAGGAGGACGGUACCUGACUAAGAAGCCCCGGCUAACUACGUGCCAGCAGCCGCGGUAAUACGUAGGGGGCAAGCGUUAUCCGGAUUUACUGGGUGUAAAGGGGGCGCAGACGGCAGCGCAAGCCAGGAGUGAAAGCCCGGGGCCCAACCCCGGGACUGCUCUUGGAACUGCGCGGCUGGAGUGCAGGAGGGGCGGGCGGAAUUCCUGGUGUAGCGGUGAAAUGCGUAGAUAUCAGGAGGAACACCGGUGGCGAAGGCGGCCUGCUGGACUGCGACUGACGUUGAGGCCCGAAAGCGUGGGGAGCAAACAGGAUUAGAUACCCUAGUAA